This 1263-nucleotide long non-coding RNA is filed under the name Triticum aestivum (bread wheat). Its description in RNAcentral is "long non-coding RNA (TAES_LNC022049)". The record is from RNAcentral. Lineage: Eukaryota; Viridiplantae; Streptophyta; Magnoliopsida; Poales; Poaceae.
AGAGUUCCUAAUAAGCCCCAUGAUGUCCAUUCCAUGAGACCAUGACGCCUAUCUUUAGUACAAUUCGGUUAGUUUCACAAAGUCAAAUAUCAAGAGGCACAGAAAACAUGAACCACAUACCAUGUCAUGAGAUCUUCCACUGAUUAUAGCAGUCAGGAGAAGUGGUGCUACAUGCCUCACAGCAGCAUACAUCUGUGAACAAAAAUCUUUAGAAAGUUGAAUGGAAAAUGCAUUGAUACUGCAACACAUAUAUGGAACAAAUCAAGGCGGAACUAUUGUCCAGUGGCUGAAGUCAGCCCAGGCAUGGGGCUUGAGUACCUUGGGGAAGUAGGGGCAUACACACCUUGGGUUGCCAAUGAGCAUCCUACUACUGCCAUUGGAGCCAAGAUAGAAAAUAGAAACUUAGGCUGUUGCAGCCUGACAGAGCGUAGAGAAAAGGAGCUGAGCAACAUGAAAAAUAAAAUUUCAGAAUGACUUCAUGAACUCUCAAAAAUAGAAUAAUAUGGCAGAGAGCAAAUUUAACAACAACAACAAAAUUAAAACUGUACAAUUAGUAAGGCAAACCAUCCUAACUUUAAAAAAAAUAGUGAGACUAUCAUUCUGAACAAUAGUACAUUUACUUAGCGCAGCUAUGAUAUUCUCACACUGGAUCUACAAUGUCUAUUCCAAUUUCCAUGCCGACAAAUAUAGAGUGGUUCUGUCAGUUAAAAAGAUAAAAAUACCAAAAUUUGGUAUAAAGGGGCAAGAAGAUAAGAUGCCUGUGCGUUCCAGCAUCCACACAAAACACGGAAGCAUGGCCUUGCAUAACUCAACAAACGCAUGCUUUCUUACUUGAAUACCUUGGAGUGAUGACGACUGGUUACUUUUAUUUUUAUAUAGGUGGUAUCUUUCCGAUCACAUAAUUGACAUCCUCUUUCAGAUUUUGGAGUACAUAGAAAGAAGAUUACGGUGGUACUACUCCUAGCAGGACGUACAUUAGUACAUGAAAAGAAGAACGGUUUAAGAACAUAGCAGAAACUGAACGAGGCAAUGCAUCAUGAACUGAACGAGGUCCGCACAGCCGAGCACAAGGAUACCCUUUCCCUCCCUCCCUCCCUCUCAAUUUUAGCAAGGGAUCACAUGGCCUCAAUCCUCAUCUCCGUCUCUCUAUCCUGAUCUGAUUCUCUCCGUCUCAGAUCUGAUUCUCUCCGUCUUGAUCCAAACAGAGAAAAGAGGGAAGAUGAACCUGAGGGAGGAAGUCGAUCGCAUGGUGGUGAACGCAGG